This 326-nucleotide unclassified non-coding RNA is filed under the name Hevea brasiliensis (rubber tree). The record is from RNAcentral. Lineage: Eukaryota; Viridiplantae; Streptophyta; Magnoliopsida; Malpighiales; Euphorbiaceae.
GGUGGAAGAAACUAUAUAAGGGUUUUCCAUAUGUAUGAAUAAGGAAAUAAGGAAGUUGCUUGGGUAAGGACUUGGGUGUCCUGGGGUGUCAACCAUUAAGUUCUAUAAAUUAAAAAAAUUCAAUGGUCCGACCUUGACUACAGAGGACUGCAAUGCACAGGAACACAGAGCACAGGGACAACCACAAAAUAAUUAAAUAAUGUCUGUACUUAGUUAUAUAUGUGCAAUGGUGUAAGUAUCAUUGGAGGCCUAGCAAUAGGGAGAUACUAAUACCAUUUGAUACAUUAUUGGGUUUUCCUUACCUGUGGACGUUCUGUUAAAAGUUU